Molecule: non-coding RNA, 463 nt
Organism: Cinara cedri
Lineage: Eukaryota; Metazoa; Arthropoda; Insecta; Hemiptera; Aphididae
Source: the annotation of a GenBank genome assembly
UUCCUAUCGUUUAUUGAAAGUAGAAGUACAUAAUAAUUUCGACUAACAAAUAAUAUUAUUAUGAUCGACGAUAUCAUACACACGCUAUAUAUGUAUUAUAAAUUACCUAUUAUAAAUGUAUCCGCGUAACGGCUAGUCGGCUAUACACAGCUAAUACACGAUAAAUAUCCAUAAUAACGCAGUUAUUGAUUAUAAUGUUAUCAUCUAAAAUCUAGCGAAAACGAACGCAGUUUACAGAUUACGGGCUCACAAACCUGUAAACCGGAUCCGUUUUAAAACAUUUUUUUUUUUAAAUUUUUUUUUAAAUAUAUAAUAUAUAAUAAUAAUAAUAAUAAUAAUAAUAAUAAUAAUAAUAAUAAGCGUACAAUAUCAAACAGAAUAUAUUAAUACUACAUAGAUUAUUUGUUUUGGUAAUAAAUAUUGUCGCGAUGAUACUAAAAAAUAGUAUAAAUAUCACAUUUUC